RNAcentral lists this long non-coding RNA (910 nucleotides) under Salmo salar (Atlantic salmon). Its description in RNAcentral is "lncRNA (ENSSSAG00000109753.1, ENSSSAG00000117220.1)". The record is from RNAcentral. Lineage: Eukaryota; Metazoa; Chordata; Actinopteri; Salmoniformes; Salmonidae.
CCUAAGUCCUGUGAGGAAAUUGCUUCCGCCUUAAAGGACAAGGUCCAUGACAUCCCAAAGAAGGUUCUGUCUGUGAUUUGAACCAAGAAAGCUACAGGGGGGGGGGGUCACAGACAGCGUGUCAGAGGUCACACAGGUUCUAUGUGACAUAAGGUCCCACUACAUCUCGUGGCCUCGAGCUGAAUAAUUCCCAAGCAUGGCAAGGGCCUUCAAAGAAAGUGGAUUUCCAGGAGUGAUUCCAGUUGUCAUUUCUGGAUGUGUACACCGGAUGGCCUGAAUCUGUUCAUGAUGCCAGGGUACUUCGAAAUAUUAACCUUUUCCAGCACCUUGAGCAGGCCAACAUGGAUGAUUUCCACCUUCUCGGCGACUCAGCCUACCUCCUUGUCCCUUACCUCAUUAUGCCUUACAGGAACAAUGGGCAUUUCUCUCCAAUGCAGAAGAAAUUCAACUCCAUCUCACAGCUCCACGAGAGUUGACAUUGAAAUGGCAUUUGGACACCUCAAGGUCAAGUGGAGACGCCUCAAGUACCUGCCCAUGGUGGACAUUGAAAGGUCCCUGUGGUCACCACAGCAGCAUUUUGUGUUCCACAACAUCCGGCUGUGGCAUGAUGGUCUUGAAGACUGGGAGGCUGAUGCUCCGGUCCCUCAGGAUGUCAACGAUGAAGAGGCUGAGGUAAUGAGGAGGCCCUGACAAGUCUGGCUGAGCAACCAGUAGGCAUGUCCAGAGUAGACGACAGAGGAUGGAUCCCACUACAUGAGGCCGCAGUACAGGAGAAGAAAAGUAUUCUGGUGAUCGUUUUCUCAGCCUCCCCCAGGGUGCAGGGCAGUGCCGGACUCUGAAGGGAGAAAUGCCUCUCUUCCGGGAGAAUGCUACAUUCCUGCUACAGAACGGAUGCUGUCCUGACCUCCAG